This 155-nucleotide ribosomal RNA is filed under the name uncultured bacterium. RNAcentral's name for it is "partial 16S ribosomal RNA". It matches the Rfam family "Bacterial small subunit ribosomal RNA", at positions 347 to 515 of the family's 1533-position model. The record is from RNAcentral.
GGCAGCAGUGGUAGAUAUUGCACAAUGGCGAGGAAGCCUGAUGCAGCAACGCCGCGUGAGGGAUGACGGCCUUAGGGUUGUAUACCUCUUUUUUCAGGGAAGAAGCGAUAGUGACGUACCUGCAGAAAGCACCGGCUAGCCUACGUGCCAGCAGC